RNAcentral lists this ribosomal RNA (460 nucleotides) under uncultured bacterium. RNAcentral's name for it is "partial 16S ribosomal RNA". It matches the Rfam family "Bacterial small subunit ribosomal RNA", at positions 338 to 795 of the family's 1533-position model. The record is from RNAcentral.
CCUACGGGGGGCAGCAGUGAGGAAUAUUGGUCAAUGGGCGCGAGCCUGAACCAGCCAAGUCGCGUGAGGGAGGACGGCCCUACGGGUUGUAAACCUCUUUUGCCGGGGAGCAACGGGCGUCACGCGUGGCGCCACUGAGAGUACCCGGAGAAAAAGCAUCGGCUAACUCCGUGCCAGCAGCCGCGGUAAUACGGAGUGUGCGAGCGUUAUCCGGUUUUAUUGGGGUUAAAGGGUGCGUAGGCGGAGCGUUAAGUCAGUGGGCAAAUCGAGGGGCUCAACCCCUUCCCGCCAUUGAAACUGGCGUUCUUGAGUGGAAGAGAGGUAUGCGGAAUGCGUGGUGUAGCGGUGAAAUGCAUAGAUAUCACGCAGAACCCCGAUUGCGAAGGCAGCAUGCCGGCUUCCGACUGACGCUGAAGCACGAAAGCGUGGGGAGCGAACAGGAUUAGAUACCCGGGUAGUC